Molecule: ribosomal RNA, 253 nt
Filed under: uncultured bacterium
Lineage: Bacteria
Description: partial 16S ribosomal RNA
Rfam family: Bacterial small subunit ribosomal RNA
Source: RNAcentral
UACGGAGGGGACUAGCGUUGUUCGGAAUUACUGGGCGUAAAGCGCACGUAGGCGGACCGACAAGUUGGAGGUGAAAUCCCAGGGCUCAACCUUGGAACUGCCUUCAAAACUGCCGGUCUAGAGUUCGAGAGAGGUGAGUGGUAUUCCGAGUGUAGAGGUGAAAUUCGUAGAUAUUCGGAGGAACACCAGUGGCGAAGGCGGUUCACUGGUUCGAUACUGACGCUGAGGUGCGAAAGUGUGGGGAGCAAACAGG